RNAcentral lists this unclassified non-coding RNA (252 nucleotides) under Elsinoaceae sp. RNAcentral describes it as "partial contains 5.8S ribosomal RNA, internal transcribed spacer 2, and large subunit ribosomal RNA". The record is from RNAcentral. Lineage: Eukaryota; Fungi; Ascomycota; Dothideomycetes; Myriangiales; Elsinoaceae.
CGCACAUUGCGCCCCUCGGUAUUCCGAGGGGCAUGCCUGUUCGAGCGUCAUUUCACCCAUCAAGCCACGCUUGGUAUUGGGCGCCUGGCCGGGGUCCCCCCCCGGCCCGCCUGAAAUGCAUCGGCGAGGCACCGACCCCCGGCGUGUUAGAAUUUCGAAACGUCAGGAGCACCGGUGACCCUCAGUGCCGUGAAACCUUUACCAUUUCCAAAGGUUGACCUCGGAUCAGGUAGGAAUACCCGCUGAACUUAA